UUGCAGGGAAAAGCUGGGGUGGAGAACACAAGGUCUUGUCGUUGCAAGUGCCCUGCUCUAAUAAGGCUGCUACGAGCGGAGGACAAUGGGUGGUACAUAGCAGAGCAUAGAGACAAUCACAACCACUCGCUGUGGCCUAAUUUCGGUGAGACAGUACACUGGGCCUCAAACAAGCACAUAGAUGUGUACACUAGGGAUAUAGUGAAGCAGUUAAGGCAGAACAAUGUCAACUUAGCAAAGGUGUACGGCAUCACCGGAGGCUACUUUGGAUCAAUGGAAAAUGUUCCGUUCAUGAAGAGGUUGUUGCGUAACCUGUGUGGGAAGAUAAAUAGAGACAAUGCAGAAGAUGAUGUGAAAAAAACAAUGGAUGUGUUCGCAGAGAUUGGGGCUAAAGAUCCACACUUCAUGUAUAGGGUCCAGUCUGACAAUGAGGGCAGGAUUAAGAAUCUGAUGUGGGCUAGUGGGAGUAGCAGGCUGCAAUAUUCAUUUUUUUGGUGA
RNAcentral lists this ribosomal RNA (498 nucleotides) under Triticum aestivum (bread wheat). RNAcentral describes it as "partial small subunit ribosomal RNA". Lineage: Eukaryota; Viridiplantae; Streptophyta; Magnoliopsida; Poales; Poaceae. The record is from RNAcentral.